RNAcentral lists this ribosomal RNA (118 nucleotides) under Ruminococcus sp. Its description in RNAcentral is "partial 16S ribosomal RNA". It matches the Rfam family "Bacterial small subunit ribosomal RNA", at positions 1 to 112 of the family's 1533-position model. Lineage: Bacteria; Bacillati; Bacillota; Clostridia; Eubacteriales; Oscillospiraceae. The record is from RNAcentral.
UUUACUAAAGAGUUUGAUCCUGGCUCAGGACGAACGCUGGCGGCACGCUUAACACAUGCAAGUCGAACGGAGAAUGUUUGAGUUUACUUAGACAUUCUUAGUGGCGGACGGGUGAGUA